Molecule: ribosomal RNA, 274 nt
Filed under: uncultured bacterium
Lineage: Bacteria
Description: partial 16S ribosomal RNA
Rfam family: Bacterial small subunit ribosomal RNA
Source: RNAcentral
AUACGGAGGGUGCAAGCGUUAAUCGGAAUUACUGGGCGUAAAGGGCGCGUAGGUGGUUAGGUCAGUCGGAUGUGAAAGCCCCGGGCUCAACCUGGGAAUGCCAUUCGAUACUGCCUAACUAGAGUAUGGUAGAGGGAAGCGGAAUUCCGGGUGUAGCGGUGAAAUGCGUAGAUAUCCGGAGGAACACCAGUGGCGAAGGCGGCUUCCUGGAUCAAUACUGACACUGAGGCGCGAAAGCGUGGGGAGCAAACAGGAUUAGAUACCCCAGUAGUCC